GAUGAACGCUGGCGGCGUGCCUAAUACAUGCAAGUCGAGCGAACGGACGAGAAGCUUGCUUCUCUGAUGUUAGCGGCGGACGGGUGAGUAACACGUGGCUAACCUACCUAUAAGACUGGGAUAACUUCGGGAAACCGGAGCUAAUACCGGAUGAUAUUUUGAACCGCAUGGUUCAAAAGUGAAAGACGGUCUUGCUGUCACUUAUAGAUGGAUCCGCGCUGCAUUAGCUAGUUGGUAAGGUAACGGCUUACCAAGGCAACGAUGCAUAGCCGACCUGAGAGGGUGAUCGGCCACACUGGAACUGAGACACGGUCCAGACUCCUACGGGAGGCAGCAGUAGGGAAUCUUCCGCAAUGGGCGAAAGCCUGACGGAGCAACGCCGCGUGAGUGAUGAAGGUCUUCGGAUCGUAAAACUCUGUUAUUAGGGAAGAACAUAUGUGUAAGUAACUGUGCACAUCUUGACGGUACCUAAUCAGAAGGCCACGGCUGACUACGUG
RNAcentral lists this ribosomal RNA (497 nucleotides) under uncultured bacterium. RNAcentral describes it as "partial 16S ribosomal RNA". It matches the Rfam family "Bacterial small subunit ribosomal RNA", at positions 28 to 507 of the family's 1533-position model. The record is from RNAcentral.